GCUAGAAUGAAUGGUUGGACAAGAAAUAAUCUGUCUUAAAUUAAUAUAUUGAAUUUAACUUUUAAGUGAAAAGGCUUAAAUAAUCUGAAGGGACGAUAAGACCCUAUAAAACUUUAUAUUUAUAAGAUAGUAGCUAGUUUUAUUUAAAAGUAUUAUUUUGGAGUAUUUGGUUGGGGUGACAAGGAUAAAAUAUAAAAUAACUGUCUUUUUUUUUUUACAGUAAUGUUUGGUUUAAUGAUCCUAAAAGGGAUUAAAGAUUAAGUUACUUUAGGGAUAACAGCGUAAUUUUCUUUAAGAGUUCUUAUCGACAAGAAAGUUUGCGACCUCGAUGUUGAAUUAAAAGUUCUUUAUAGAGUAGAGACUAUAACAGAAGGUCUGUUCGACCUUUAAAAUUUUACAUGAUUUGAGUUCA
Molecule: ribosomal RNA, 412 nt
Filed under: Procambarus zonangulus
Lineage: Eukaryota; Metazoa; Arthropoda; Malacostraca; Decapoda; Cambaridae
Description: partial large subunit ribosomal RNA
Rfam family: Bacterial large subunit ribosomal RNA (bases 273-412)
Source: RNAcentral